Molecule: unclassified non-coding RNA, 280 nt
Filed under: uncultured fungus
Lineage: Eukaryota; Fungi
Description: partial contains 5.8S ribosomal RNA, internal transcribed spacer 2, and large subunit ribosomal RNA
Rfam family: 5.8S ribosomal RNA (bases 1-52)
Source: RNAcentral
AACGCACAUUGCGCCCUUUGGUAUUCCGAAGGGCAUGCCUGUUCGAGCGUCAUUAUCACCCCCUCAAGCCCCCGUGCUUGGUGUUGGACGGCCUGGCGGAAGCUCCUUCCACCCCUCCUAAAGACAAUGACGGCGGCCUCGUGGCGCCCCCGGUACACUGAGCUUCUUAACUGAGCACGUAUCGGAAUCAAGGGCGCCCGGGGCACGGUCUUCUCCCCCUUCGCGGGGAAAUUUUCUCAAGGUUGACCUCGGAUCAGGUAGGAAUACGCGCUGAACUUAA